UAUAAAUUGGUUAUGGAAAAGUGAGGAAAAAUAAUUUGCAUCUACUAUGCACUAUAUUUUUUUCUUCUUGUGAAGCAAGUGCCUGUCAUGCUCUGGAAAAUAUAAAUAUGAAAUCUGAACAGUUGAUGAUUAUAAAAAUAAUUACAGGUUGCCAUUAUGAAGCACACAGUCACACCUAAUCCUUUAAAUAAAUGUGCUUAACUACACUAAAAUACAUGUUUUAAAAUGUUAAACAGAGACAUUCUAAAAAGACACGUGAAAACCAUUUAAUUUUUUUAAAGAAAAAGAUGCUGAGUGGGUCCAUAGUGGGAAUUAUUUUAAAACAAGAAAAAAGAAAUCUUUAGCCCUGGAAACCCUUCUUGGACUGCAUUAGAAAUAAAUUUCCUGAUGUAGCCUGUAAGUCAGUCAAAACAGGGAAGACUGAAUGCUGGGAGCAAUAGGUGUGUUUGUUAACUCUGAAAUACUGAAAGUCAGAAACAUGUGAAAAGGAUGGUCAUGUUAAGUAGGAUCUUUAAAGUCGGUAUAUAAACCAUUUCUUUGCCUUCUAUUCAAGCAAUAUACUUUCAUCCUUCUGUUGUGUUUCCUCAAUUCCUACACUUUGUUUUCGUACUCCCCCCACCAGGAAUGAGGCACCAACACCAGUGGGAGAGUUUUAGAUUCCUUAGAAAUUCUGCUUAUAUAAGUGAGUACAUCAAAUGAUCUUUGCCACAAAAAUGAUGAAUGUUUCUUUUGAAAUGCAGACCAUGGUUCCAAGAAGUUUAUGCUCACAGAAUCAGGAGCCUUGCAUUGAAAAGGUGUAAGUCUUGCUAAUAGCCUAAAAGUCUAUUUUUUUCACCCAACUGCAGCAUUAAAUAUUGGAGCUGUGGAAAAUUAUUGCAACCAAACUAUUGAAACCAUUCUUAAAGUUAAAAGAAUUGUUAUUUUAGGACAAAUUUUGAAGAUAAUACUUUUUUGGGGGUGGGGAACUUCUGCUGUUAUUGUUGCUGUGCUGGAGGAAUGGUGCUUAUUCUUUUGGUAGCAUAACUAGUGGUCUGACAUGAAAAACUCUUAAAACUUACCCUAUAUUGGGUCUUUAACUGCUAUUUUAUGUUAAAACCUUACAUAUUAGUAUGUAUAUAUAUAUGUGAAUGCAUACAUAUACAAACUACAUUUUCUUAUUUUUAAAAUAUCUUAAGGUACAUGAAGGAGUUAACAUGUUCAUGAAACAUUGUGACAUGGAAAGGUUAGCAGAGCCUCAAGCAGUGCCUGAGUAGGAAAGUGAUAAACUGACACCACACUGUAGAGGAGGAAGAAAAACAUCUCACCAACGGCAGACAGCAGAAACUAAUGGUUUUCAACUGUUGCUGAUCUAAUCAAUCAUGGUGCUAUGAUAUAAUCAGUUCUGUGUGAUUCGUUUGUUGUUCUACUGGAAUGCAUUGUAUUCCCUUCUUAUUUUUAAGCCCCCCUACUUCUAGUUUUCGCCUUUCUUAAAAGGCAAUUUCUAAGAUUGUGUUUCUUUUAAAGCCAAUAAGUAAUUGUGAAAGACAAACUCAGAGCCUGUUGAAUUUCAACAAAAGUUAAGUAUUUUGUAGGACAUACAACAAUAGUGUUCUUUAAUUAAAAUACUGAGCCAUAUGAAAAUUUGUCCAACAUUUGGUAAAUGCCCUUAGUUGAAUCGUUAAUAUCCUAGAUAGUAAAAGAUUAGUACCUUUUAUCUCUAGUCUACUGGGUACAGAUUUUGCUUUCAGAUACUAUCAUCACAUCAUCACACACAGGUUGAAGAUGACAUUUUCUCACCUGUUAAGGCAUGACUUUCAGUAAAAUGUAUUUAGCUGUCAGAGGUCUGCAAGCAGUCCAUCAGUUGAGACAUGAUGCUGUUUUGACCGAUAUUGGUGACAUUUUAAAAGCUACACAAAAAUUCAUAAUUAUAAAAGUGUUCACUGUUUCACUAAAGACUGUGUAAUGCAUUGCAUAUUAAUUAAUAAGAUGUUCUCUUUUAAAUGCUAUCCCUAAAAUGUACUUAAUGUUACUUUCCAUUACCAUGCAUAAAGUUUUAACCAUUUAUUCAUGCCAUUAGAAAAAUGUAGACUUUUCCUUUCUUUUCGGUAUGUUCCUUUUACUUUUCUACUCAUUAUAGAGUCAUGAACAACUAUG
This 2133-nucleotide long non-coding RNA is filed under the name Homo sapiens (human). Its description in RNAcentral is "HSALNT0310747". Lineage: Eukaryota; Metazoa; Chordata; Mammalia; Primates; Hominidae. The record is from RNAcentral.